This 311-nucleotide ribosomal RNA is filed under the name uncultured fungus. Its description in RNAcentral is "SSU rRNA". It matches the Rfam family "Eukaryotic small subunit ribosomal RNA", at positions 39 to 352 of the family's 1831-position model. Lineage: Eukaryota; Fungi. The record is from RNAcentral.
AAAGAUUAAGCCAUGCAUGUCUAAGUAUAAGCAACUUGUACAGUGAAACUGCGAAUGGCUCAUUAAAUCAGUUAUCGUUUAUUUGAUAAUCCCUUACUACAUGGAUACCUGUGGUAAUUCUAGAGCUAAUACAUGCUUCAAGGAGUGGCUUUCGUCACUCUGCACUUAUUAGAUAAAAAACCAAUGCCCCUUUGGGGCUCCCUGGUGAUUCAUAAUAAUUUAGCGGACCGCAUUCCCUCGAGGAGGCGGUGGAUCAUUCAAAUUUCUGCCCUAUCAACUUUCGAUGGUAGGAUAGUGGCCUACCAUGGUUU